Molecule: long non-coding RNA, 4474 nt
Organism: Plodia interpunctella (Indianmeal moth)
Lineage: Eukaryota; Metazoa; Arthropoda; Insecta; Lepidoptera; Pyralidae
Exons: 2
Source: RefSeq, a predicted model, not a curated record
AAAUCGUUAUUUUCUCUUUCCAAUAUAAAACAAGAAUCGGCCUCACUAAUUCGCAAACUUAUUGAUACUGUGUUACGCAACCUCCGUGCAUUGAAGACACUAGAGGAGCCUGUGGACACAUGGGAUACCUUAUUAAUUUAUUUAAUUGUGUCGAAGCUCGAUUUAGCUACGGAGAGUGACUGGGAAAAACAUAAGGGCACUCUUGUUUUAAAUUCGUCACGAAAGUUGAAAUUAGAUGAUUUGCUAAGGUUUCUUAGGAAUAAAGCGGAUAUGUUGGACAUGAUCAGUGCUAAUCAUAACAAGUUGCAAUCGAAACCAACAAAUAAUGCAACCAAUCAGGCCAAUAAUAAAGUUCAUAGUUAUGUCUCAACAAAUAAUAGUAAUUCCAAAAAUAAAUUCACUAGUAAUAAUAAUAAACGUCAUAAAUGUCCUUCAUGUAACGGUAAUAAUGCUUUGUAUAUGUGUUAUAAUUUUUUGAAUUUAUCUGUACAAGACAGGUCCUUAUUCGUAGAUAAAAAUAAUUUAUGUCGCAAUUGUUUACGAUCUGGACAUGUACUUUCAGAUUGCACGUUUGGCCCAUGCAAGCAAUGUCAGGGCAAACAUAAUAGUCUACUCCACUUUAAUAGUUCUAAUAAAAACAGUGUUAACAGUGACGCCAUGUCCAGUUCUCCCCAGGCUACCUCAAUGCCGACCGGUGCGCUGUUAUCAGUAGGCGGUGAUCCCUUCUAUUCGAAUACAUACACAUGCGCAGGCGAUCUACCACUGCAACCUGUUUUGUUAUGCACGGCAUUAGUGGAUGUGAUUGAUAAAGAUAAUCGUAUGCAUACAGCCCGAGCGCUGUUAGACUCUGGGAGUCAACAUAGUUUUAUUUUAGAUAGAUUAAGAAAACGUCUUAAUGCGCCUCUUAUACAGUCCACUAUUCGAAUUUCGGGUGUCGGACAAUCAGUGUCGCACUCUAAUCAUUUAUGCGAAAUUACUUUUAAAUCAAAAAUAUGCGAUUAUACGGCGAAGGCCAGAUGUAUUGUCUUGCAGCGCAUAACAAACGGUUUGCCCACGACAUGCAUUGAUGAAGCCCUCAUACGAAUGCCAAAUAAUAUUCAGCUUGCUGAUCCGUCUUUCUGUGUUCCUUCAGAUAUCGAUUUAUUGAUUGGUGCAGAUUUAUUUUGGAGUUUGUUAUGCGAAAAUAGGAUUCAAUUAUCGAAUGGUCCCUGCUUACAAAAUUCGAAGUUAGGUUGGCUUAUUUCUGGUCCUAUAAACAACAAUAAAAAUUUGUCUACCAAUCAAGUACAUUGUCAUUUGUCACAAACUCUGAGCGAACAACUUACGCGAUUUUGGGAAAUAGAAGAAAUGCCUCAGUCAGGUAGUCCUCUGAAUAACGACGAGCGUUUGUGUGAGGAUUUGUUUGUUAAAACUACUAUUCGAAUGGCUGACGGUAGAUUCUCGGUACGUAUCCCGCUUAAAGAAUCAGCUGACUCGUUAGGCGAUUCUUAUACGUUAGCAAAAAAUAGAUUUUUUUCAUUAGAACGUAAAUUAGAACGUUCUCCUGAUUAUAAACGUAUGUAUGUCGAAUUUAUGCGUGAAUAUGAAGCUUUGGGACAUAUGGAACGCAUAGAUAUGCCCAAAAGCCCUAAUUAUUUUUUACCACACCACGGUGUUUAUAGGGAAGGUGCUGUGACUACUAAAUUACGCGUUGUUUUUAAUGCUAGUGCUGUCACUACUUCGAAUAAAUCGUUAAACGAUAUACAGUUACCAGGUCCAGCACUUCAAAAUGAUAUAUUCGGUAUUUUAUUAAGAUUUCGUCAGUACAAGUAUGUUGCCUGUGCCGAUGUUUGUAAAAUGUUUAGGCAAGUCAUGGUUCAAUCAGAUCAAAGGUCGUUGCAACUUAUAGUUUGGCGUGAAAACCCAACUGAUCCUUUACAGGUCUACCAAUUAACUUGCGUGACUUAUGGUACUGCGUCAGCCCCGUACCUUAGUAUGCGUUGUAUUCGUCAGCUAGCCUCAGAGUGUGAAGAUAAAUUUGUUGCUCGCGUUAUUAAUGAUGAUUUUUUCGUUGACGAUCUAAUAACGGGACACGAUAAUUACAAAACCUUGCUAGACAUUUGUGAGAAAACACGCCAAGUCCUGCAGUCUGGAUGCUUCCCACUCCGCAAGUGGACAUUCAACUCUGACGUCACACGAUGUGCUUCGAUAAAGAAUUUCGAAGGCGAGCAUACUCAAAACAAAACAUUAGGCGUAGGUUGGAACAGCGAUAGUGAUGAGUUACACUUCACUACGAAAAUUGAUUUUAAUUCAGAUAAUUCAAAAUUGAAUAAACGUCAAAUGUUGUCCAUCAUAGCUCAAAUUUAUGACCCCUUAGGAUUAUUAUCAGCAUCUAUAAUAAUUGCAAAAAUAUUAUUGCAAAAGUUAUGGGCUAAUAAACUAAGUUGGGAUGAUGAAGUUCCUCAGGACAUUGCCGAAUCAUGGAAUUAUUUUAUCGGUACAUUAAAGUGCUUAAGCGAAUUAAAAAUUCCACGUUGCGUUUUAAAUACGUAUAGGCAAUAUACUGAGCUCCAUAUUUUCUGUGAUGCUUCUUCGAAUGCAUAUGGUGCAUGUGCCUAUAUACGUACCUAUAGCGAUGGCUCGUCAAAUCCCACAGUAAGACUUCUUUGUGCCAAAACAAAGGUCGCACCUUUAAAGUCACUUACUAUCCCAAGACUUGAGCUGUGUGGUGCUUAUGUAGGUGCUAAAUUGUAUAAACAUAUUGUAGAUUCGUUGAGAUUGUCCUUCACUAAAACUUACUUCUGGACUGACUCGACUAUCGUACUAGGAUGGUUACAAAUGUCUCCACAUUUAUUAAAAACAUUUGUUCAAACUCGUGUAGCAAAAAUUAAAAAUAUAACAGAGGAGUCUGAGUGGCUACAUGUACCUAGUAAAGACAAUCCAGCAGAUUUAUUGUCCAGAGGCGUUUAUUUAAAUUUAUUAAUUGAUAAUAAUUUGUGGUGGAACGGACCGUAUUUUUUACAGUCUCGUGAAUUCAGUUUAGAUUUUAUACGUGAUAAUAAUGAGUCGGUAGAAUUAAAUGAUUUGCCUGAGUUAAAGCCUCCUACUAAAGUUAGCUUUGUUUGCAUUCCAGUCGAGAACGAUUUAUUUGAAUUCAAAAGAUAUUCGUCAUAUAUUAAACUUUUACGCAUAGGUGCAUUUGUUUUGAGAUUUAUAGAUAACAUUCGCAGCCGACAUCAGAGCGUCUCAAAACAACAAACCGGUUUUCUAACCACGGACGAGCUGCGUGCAUCACAGGCAUUGCUAGUAAAGUGUGCACAACGCGAAUCGUUCCCGGACGUUUAUGACAAUUUAUUGAAUAAUACGACUGUAAAAACAAAUAAAUCGCAAUGGAAUCGUUUAUCAGGUCUUAAUUUGUUUUUAGAUGAUCGUAAAGUAAUUAGAGUCGGUGGUAGGCUGUCAAAUUCGUCUGAUUUCAACUACGAUAAGAAACAUCCAGUGUUGUUAUGUAAUAAACAUUAUUUUACGUUACUGUUGGUUAGAUACGAGCAUAGACGUUUACUUCAUGCCGGUCCACAGCUGCUAUUGUCUUCACUGCGCGAGUGUUGGUGGCCACUGAGUGCUAGGAACUUAGUAAAGAAAAUAGUUCGUGAGUGUGUUACGUGUGCGCGAAUAAAAGGCAAAAUGUUAUCUCCUAUAAUGGGAAAUUUGCCAUCUGAGCGAUUGGAUGGUGGAUUUCCAUUUAUUACAACCGGCUGUGAUUAUUGUGGGCCACUGUUCAUACUGAACCGGAAGGGCAGAGGAGCCCAGUUAACUAAAGCACCCUUAUGACUUCAACCCGCUAACGCCUGGUCAUUUCCUUAUUGGCCGGCCGUUGACUGCUCCUGCUAGCACCGACGACGUAGCAGCUGCGACAUCUACGACUCCGGCGCUCAACCGAUAUCGACGCAUCGAGCAAAUUCGUUUACAUUUCUGGCAACGAUGGUCGAAAGAGUACAUAGCUGAGCUCCAGACGCGGACUAAAUGGAAGACGAAUAAAAACGAUAUUGCCAUGGACAGCAUGGUCCUUAUAAAGGAUGAUAACCAGCCGCCUCUGAAGUGGAAAUUGGGACGGAUCGUGAAGACUUAUCCUGGUGCGGACGGAGUUUCUCGUGUUGCUGACAUACGGACGGCUACAGGAAUAAUAAGAAGAUCGUUCUCCAAGAUCUGCCCGUUAUCGCUGCAGCCCGAGAGUUGAAUAAAUCCAGAAGACGUCAUACUUUGGAAGUCGGAGUCUUCCAAGGCCGGGGGCAUGUUUAUGAUACCACUAUCGCCAUCUAUGAGUGAGAAGUCGGCAACUUUUUCAUCGAUCAUCAGUUGUACGCGCCCCACCACUGGUAGAUCUCUCUAGAAAAACUGUCUCGUCCACGCGCGCUUGAGAUAGCACAAAUUUAAUAUAAUUAUUCUGUUUUACUGUAAAUCUUUCCAAUAAACGUAUUUUAAUCGUCUAAUAAAA